Molecule: long non-coding RNA, 925 nt
Organism: Bombus pascuorum
Lineage: Eukaryota; Metazoa; Arthropoda; Insecta; Hymenoptera; Apidae
Exons: 2
Source: RefSeq, a predicted model, not a curated record
CGCGCACCGAGGAACGCUGCGCAUUGCGCAAUGCACAAACUUUCGUUCUUCUUGCACCGACGCGAUUGAAACCCAUGCUAACCAGAAAAAUGUAUCAUCUUAACAAUCAACUGUUUCCCUAAUCUCCUAUUCAUCUUCAUGGUAAACAUUAUCACAGUCUAUGAAAUAAAACGAAACGAAUGACACUGGUGAACUCGAGGCGAAUUGAAAGCGUCGCUUGUAAGAAAGGCUCGUGAAACGAUUCCCUCCACGGAACGUCAAUUGCAAAAUGGAGGCAAUACGACAGUACGUCGCGUUCGGAGGGAAGAAUUUGCAUGAGCAUUGUAGAGUAUUGAGAGGUGUUAUCCUGUAAUAGAUUGCAAAAACCGAGUUGAAAUUUAUAGAGCUGGGCAGAGUCGUUUCGCGACUUUUGUCAUGUAAUUCUAGCUACAAUGAAAUCAGUCAUUUCGUGGAAACCUCCAGAAAGAUAUGGAAAAUCUGUAGAGGAUACGUAUAAGGACACGUCAUCUUGAUAUUAGAGUAGUUAUCAAGAUAGUAAUUUUUUAUCGCUUUUCCAGAUGCAUGUUCUUGGAAUGGACGUUGUGUGAUUAUUCUGGCCAUUGGAAGCUUCUUCUACGUUUUCUGUUCGGAAAAAAUAGACGCCAUUGUGUGUCUAAACGUAAAUAAUGUUCGAACAAUGUCGAGCGAUAUCGAGCGAUGUAGAGCGAUGUCGAGCUGGUGAAAUUAUUGAAUUUUGGCGCUUUUGUCAAUUGAACUUAACGGCGGAAAUUGAACUGUACUAAAGUCGAUUAUAUUAAUAAGUUUCUUGAUUUUUUGUGGUAUCAUGAUCUGAAUUACAUUUUUAUUGUAACAAAAAUAUUUUGUAAAUAUAAACAGAAUAUCAGAUAUUAAUUGUUAUUAAUGAUAUACAUCGAUGAAUUUCUGA